This 84-nucleotide non-coding RNA is filed under the name unclassified sequences. The record is from Rfam.
AGGAAAUGAAGUAGAAAAAUAUCGGACGCACACGCACCCAAAAGGGUAUCUGAGGGGCGGGGAAUGUCCGUCCCGCCAUUUCCU